Molecule: long non-coding RNA, 3541 nt
Organism: Pezoporus occidentalis (night parrot)
Lineage: Eukaryota; Metazoa; Chordata; Aves; Psittaciformes; Psittacidae
Exons: 2
Source: RefSeq, a predicted model, not a curated record
UUAAACAUAAAUUAAUCUCCGGCCCAAAGAGUCCCGUGUUUCGCUCACCUGCGGCGCCCGUCGCCAGGACGCGGAGGUGGUGCCGGCUGUCUGGAAAACAAGGGAAGAGAAAGCGAGGGAUUUUCUGCAGGCUUGAUGCAACCCGCGCUGGGUUGUUGCAUCAAAGACCUAGAAAGGAACCCGAGACAAAAAUAAUCUCCUCAGAUGAGCGCCGCGUGUCAAGAUGCUGCCGAGCGCGACGACAUGAGUUCUGCUUGUUCCACAUGCAGCACCGUGUGUCCUGGUUCAACCAAGGUCCUGUUUUCGAAGUGAUCUUUAGGCUCUGACCAUGCAAUUUUGGCUUUGAAUCCAAGCUUCCCUCAGUUCGGGACGUUUGGCUCUAGAGUCUGCGUGUGGCUUGUCACAAUGACAGAAAAUUCAUACGAAGUUCUGAAUUUGGACUUCAAAUGUUUAUGUUCAAACCUGCUGUAUUGGUUUAGGUCAUCCCUCUGACAAAUCUGAUCUAUUGGGAGAAUACAGAAGCAAAAAGAAGGACUUUUUACAAGGGCAGUGUACUGACUGAGGAGUGUGACAAACCCCUAUCCCAGGCAGAGGCUGCAAGAACAACACAGCCCAUUCCUCCUGUUUCUGAGUAAAACACAUUCCUAGCCGCACCCAUAAAGACAUCUCUCUCAACAAUACAGUGGGGUAAGUGAGAAAUCAAGAACCCAGAACAUCUCUAUUUAUUUGCAGCAAGCUGGUCUGCAUUCAAUAGUGAGUCCUUGAAUUAUUUAGUGUGCUGGUGGAAAAACUUCUAAAUCCUUUGACAGUUUCUGGUAUAUUGUAAUCCUGGAAAUGUUUUUCAAGUAAAUAGCAAUACUGAAGUCCCUCUUCUGGCCUAUGUUAGUAAUUUUGAUAUGCAAACUAUUCUGUGUUCUGGGCCCUUGCUCGUUUUUCAUGUAGGCAUACUUUUUAGGCUUCAGUGUUAACAUCCAAGAUUAAUGGGUCUGUUCCUACUUCCAAGAGUAUUGUUUCAGCUGCCUGCAUAGCGAGGUAAAAUCACUAUGCUGAUGUAUGAAUAGCUCACCUCAGAGAGUUUAUGGUUAUGGACAUUAAAAUAUUAUUGACUGUUUCUAAUGGAAACUUUUCAUUUUAGAGAAACAUAAUUCUUAACCAUGCUGUGGCAGUUUUCAUACUUCUCAGCUCGUGUCAUAGGUAAAACUUUGCGUAGACAUCUUUGAUUUGCUGUUAAUUUAUAGCCUGGCCUGUUUAUUUCCCUCCACAAUUUCUGUCCUUCUAGGACUUAUCUGCAUCUAAUUACGUAUUGCAUCAACGUCAACAAAUUGCAGUCAGGGACGCGGAUCUCACCAUGCAAGGCCUGAUACAAACUCCAAACCAAGAAGUUUCUGUCCAGUCCUACCAGCACAGCUGACACAGUGCUUAUCUCUGUCCUGUCUUUCCUGUUCUUAUGUCUCCCCCUCCUUUUCACCCUGUUCCAUCAAGCCUCUUCUGCUUUCUCUCCGUGACCUACCUGCUGCUCACUCUCUCUUGGCUGUGGCACACUUUCUUCCCCACCAGCCCAUUUAAUUGCAGUGUUCCAUUUCAUUAUUAGCUUGUCACCACCUUUAUCAAGUCACCUUUCCUAGCUCAGGCCUAGCCACAAAGCUUUCCUGCAUAGCUUGUCAUCAAUUUUCCACAUUAAGGCUUGUCUAAAACCACAUGCAAAAGGGUCUAUGAAAAAUAAUGACUCUAGUGCUGUAUUUAUUUCUGAAUAAAAAGCAGCAUUGGUGAAUAGCCUCUGUACAGGCAGAGACAGAUUUCCUGUGUGUCCAGUUCCUGCAGGCUCAUUGCACAGAAAUCUGUCUAUGUGUCAGUCAAACAAAGCCCUUCCCAUGGUGAAGACUUUAGGGAUUUCUAGGCAGUGGUCUUUACACGCACGUGGAGAUCCAUCCCAACAUCAAUGAGGUCAAUAGACAUCUUCCUAUUAAUUCUGGUUAGCUUUGGAUCAGAUUCUUGUUGUGCAUAGUAGGUUAAUUAAACAAAUUAACAACUGCAUGGUACUGCAGGUGGGCAGGCAUCAAGCAUGCUUAAUGUGGUAUCCUGCUGCCUCUGGAGUGCAGGGUGGAGCACUGUCAGCCAGAUUUAGCCUCCCCAGGAGUGUGGCCAGGGAAACGCAAAAGGUUUCUACAGACUUUCAGCCACAGAACCUUUUAUUUCCAUGUUGCAACCCUAAAUUUCUAGCUUGUGGCACUGAAGUAAUUUUCAAAGUAUGGUUUAGCUUACUUUAAGUGCAUUUUACGCAUGAGUAGACUCAAGCAAGGCAGAGGACAAGUGGCAGAUGGUCAGUGACAAAGACAGGAAUGGAAUGGAGAAUUUCCUUGUCCCAGGACAUGGCUUUAACAGACUUUGUCCCAGGAUUGUGAGAUUUAACUACUUAUAAUUCAUGAGGCUUCAGCAGUGCUGAAGGGGAAAAAAAAAGCAGCUGUCAUUGUUCAUAGUAUUUCCUGGCAAAGACUGGCUUCCAUAGGCAAAACUAUUUCAGCUUCUUAAGUAUGCAAUUUGGAGCUUAAUCUCUUCACUUUCCUACCAGUUUUAUUCCUUUUGAACUUGGCUGUGCCAUGUGCACUGCUCAUUUACAACUCCAGGGGGGAAGAACAAGUCUCCAAAGGAGCCCAUCAGAACACCUUUGAAACAGGCAUAGCGUUAUCUGUAACCCUGGUAAAAAUAACCAUAAUGAUAAUGGAUAAUUAUAAACCAUGUAACUGGCAAAACAACACACUGCAUUUCAGAGGAUGAAUUGCUUUACCCUGUCCAGUAACCCACUUUACAGUGCAGUAAUGGAUCUACAUUUGGAGGGUUGUGCAAUGAAAUGGAGCCUUUGGCAAGCUGGAAUCACACUGGAAGUGAGGCAACAUCUUUGUGGGAUUUUUAUAUAUGCAUAUUUGAAAAUCUGGAACUUAUCCCUUUUGACAUAAAGAGACUGGCUUGGAAUGAUUAAAUUCUAGAACAGAUUAUGAAAUAAUAAAGGCAGUAUUAUGAUGCAGCAGUACAACAGUGCAGUUACCCUCCACUUUACUGCUUCAAGUAUACUAUAUCUGAAAAGCUUUCUGCACUCCAGGGGAACUACUGAUUAUAAAUUAUAAAAAAGGAAUAGAAUAUCAUUCAUGUAUGAAAGAAAAAGACUUUUCAGACCCUUAUUUAGAUAAAGAACUUACUGAAGCAGCUAAAAAUAUGGGGAAAUGAAGUGAACACAGGGCCUGAUCCAAAGGCCCCUGAACUCAGCAGAAGCACUGCAGGGGGUGUUCAUUACGUGUCAGAGUCAUAUAUGUCGUCCUGAAUUCCAAUUCACAAAAUGCAAAUAAAGAAUGUUAUUGUAUAUGAGUGAGGAGAAGGUCUAAUUGCAGUGUCUAGGCAUUCCCUGUGGAUAAAAUGCGCAGAUUUUUCUCCAGCAGGUAGACUUUCCCAGCAAGGAUUUAUUGCCAAUAUUUAUGUGAGAGUUUGUAGUCCCAAAAGCACAAAAAUGCUGGGAAACAAAAAGGAAAGAAAAUGUAUCCAAAGAGAA